AACGAACGCUGGCGGCAUGCCUAACACAUGCAAGUCGAACGAGACCUUCGGGUCUAGUGGCGCACGGGUGCGUAACGCGUGGGAACCUGCCCUUAGGUUCGGAAUAACUCCCCGAAAGGGGUGCUAAUACCGGAUAAUGUCUUCGGACCAAAGAUUUAUCGCCUUUGGCUGGGCCCGCGUUGGAUUAGCUAGUUGGUAGGGUAAAAGCCUACCAAGGCGACGAUCCAUAGCUGGUCUGAGAGGAUGAUCAGCCACACUGGGACUGAGACACGGCCCAGACUCCUACGGGAGGCAGCAGUGGGGAAUAUUAGACAAUGGGCGAAAGCCUGAUCCAGCAAUGCCGCGUGAGUGAUGAAGGCCUUAGGGUUGUAAAGCUCUUUUACCCGGGAUGAUAAUGACAGUACCGGGAGAAUAAGCUCCGGCUAACUCCGUG
This 433-nucleotide ribosomal RNA is filed under the name uncultured bacterium. RNAcentral's name for it is "partial 16S ribosomal RNA". It matches the Rfam family "Bacterial small subunit ribosomal RNA", at positions 29 to 507 of the family's 1533-position model. The record is from RNAcentral.